GAAAUGCGAUAAUUAAUGUGAAUUACAGGAUUCAGUGAAUCAUCGAGUCUUUGAACGCACAUUGCGCCCCCUGGUAUUCCGGGGGGCAUGCCUGUCCGAGCGUCAUUGCUGCCCUCAAGCACGGCUUGUGUGUUGGGCUUCCGUCCCUGGCAACGGGGACGGGCCCAAAAGGCAGUGGCGGCACCAUGUCUGGUCCUCGAGCGUAUGGGGCUUUGUCACCCGCUCCCGUAGGUCCAGCUGGCAGCUAGCCUCGCAACCAAUCUUUUUAACCAGGUUGACCUCGGAUCAGGUAGGGAUACCCGCUGAACUUAAGC
Molecule: unclassified non-coding RNA, 314 nt
Filed under: plant metagenome
Description: partial contains 5.8S ribosomal RNA, internal transcribed spacer 2, and large subunit ribosomal RNA
Rfam family: 5.8S ribosomal RNA (bases 1-105)
Source: RNAcentral